Molecule: ribosomal RNA, 433 nt
Filed under: uncultured bacterium
Lineage: Bacteria
Description: partial 16S ribosomal RNA
Rfam family: Bacterial small subunit ribosomal RNA
Source: RNAcentral
AACGAACGCUGGCGGCAUGCCUAACACAUGCAAGUCGAACGAGACCUUCGGGUCUAGUGGCGCACGGGUGCGUAACGCGUGGGAACCUGCCCUUAGGUUCGGAAUAACUCCCCGAAAGGGGUGCUAAUACCGGAUAAUGUCUUCGGACCAAAGAUUUAUCGCCUUUGGAUGGGCCCGCGUUGGAUUAGCUAGUUGGUAGGGUAAAAGCCUACCAAGGCGACGAUCCAUAGCUGGUCUGAGAGGAUGAUCAGCCACACUGAGACUGAGACACGGCCCAGACUCCUACGGGAGGCAGCAGUGGGGAAUAUUGGACGAUGGGCGAAAGCCUGAUCCAGCAAUGCCGCGUGAGUGAUGAAGGCCUUAGGGUUGUAAAGCUCUUUUACCCGGGAUGAUAAUGACAGUACCGGGAGAAUAAGCGCCGGCUAACUCCGUG